Amphiprion ocellaris (clown anemonefish) is the source of this 4498-nucleotide RNA transcript. It is a transcript of the gene named coiled-coil domain containing 85A, with no coding region annotated. The transcript is spliced from 4 exons. The record is from RefSeq and is a predicted model, not a curated record. Lineage: Eukaryota; Metazoa; Chordata; Actinopteri; Pomacentridae.
AUGGAGAAAGGCGCACAGCAGCUGCCCAAAAGUGCAGAGAGUCCGAUGGAGGACAUCUCCAAAAUCCCCGACGAGGAGCUGCUGAAGUGGGGCAAAGAGGAGCUGGUGCGGCGGCUGCGGAGGGCAGAGGCGGAGAAGAGGGGCGUCAUCGUGGAGCACGGAAAUCUGAUGCGGGAGGUGAACCGGAGGCUCCAGCAGCAUCUCAACGAGAUACGGAGUUUAAAGGAUGUGAACCAGAAACUACAGGAGGACAACCAGGAGCUGCGGGACCUGUGCUGCUUCCUGGAUGACGACCGGCAGAAGGGGAAGCGAGUGUCGCGGGAGUGGCAGCGUCUGGGUCGCUAUAGUGCCGGCCUGAUGAGGAAGGAAGUGGCCAUCUACCUGCAGAAGCUGAAGGAGCUGGAGCAGCGGCAGGUGGAGGUCAUCUGGGAGAAUCUGGAGCUCAAGGAGGUGUGUCUCAUGCUGGAGGAGGAGAGGGCUGUGGCUGGUGGAGGAGGGGGAGGUGGUGUGGGCGGGCAGGGAGGCCCUGGCUGCAGGACCUCCAUAGACAGUCAGAGUAGUCUGUCUCAGCUGGGUGGAGGCGUCCCUGCGCCUGGCUUGCUGCGGGACGUUGGCGAUGGGAGCAGCACCUCCAGUGCAGGGAGCACAGACAGCCCGGAUAACCCCCACAACAAACCUCCUUCCUUGGGCUCCAGUGCCAGUCCCGGAUCCGGGUCGAGAUGCAUCUCCUCAGAGCAGCCAAGAGACGUAUGUGAAUCCACCGGCAGGAGGCACAGCUCCACCCCAGAGUACCACACCUUCCCCCAGUCCUGCCGCCCCCGUGGAGGCUCCCUCACCAACCUGGACCCACGUGGCCUUCGAGGACACAGCCCCGAAAAACACAGCAAGUCUCCCACCAGGCUACCGUGCGACACCUACUCCAAACCCUGUAGCCCUGACCUACUAGCCCAGAAACAGCUACUGAUGUCAGGGCAGGCAUCACCAGGAAAGGGCUCGGCGAAGUCCAGCCCAGAGCUGAGUCAGAGACAUCGGCAGGUGAACACGGUGGGGGCUGGCUGUGGGAGUCCUGAGGCCAAGCAGGCCGCAAUGGGGACCCCAGAGUAUCUGAGGAAAGGGCGGGUGAUUGUAGGGAGUCCAGAGUCUAUCCGGCACCACCACCAUUAUCAGCACAGCCCUGGGGUGGAGCACGGCAAUGGGAGGUACAGCAGUGGCUCCCCUGGCAGGGAUGGAGGCCAGAGGAGGGCAGCAGGAGAAGAGAUGACCCCCCACCACCAGAGUCUGUACAACGGUAGGCACAUGCUCUGAUAUCUGCUGGCUGCUGCACCAACUCCUGUAGGAGUGUGAAGCUUUGGGACAGCUUCGAUGCCUCCUGACCACGACAUGCCUCCUGAUCAUAUGCUGCUGUGACAACACACACCCAGGUGAGAGAGAGAGAAGGAAGGAUGCGCAACUGGGUGGACAAACGAUGCUGAGAAUCAAAAUGGAGCAGUAAAAGGCAGGUGGGGAAGCAGACCAGUGAAACAAAGGCGACAAAGUGGCAAAAGACUGGAAACACUCAGGCGCUCUCUCUGCACUGUCUGCUGCUGCUGCUGCUGCUACUGAUGCUGCUAUGCAUUUUCUGAGGACCACCGGAGAAGACUGAAUGUCAUUGUCUGGACGGGUGGAGGCUCGUCCCUGUAUUACCAAAAGGAAGAGAGGAAAAUAAAUAAGACAGCUCAUAGUUUUUGUGUUGCCAACAAUAUAAGUCCUACCUCUUUGGAAAGACAGAUUCCUCUUGCUGAGAGAAGCUCUGCAUGAAGAGCAACUUCUCCUGAUGAGACUGGAGGUUACAGCCCUGCUAUCACACCAGUGAUCAUUUGAAACGAAACUGUUUGGAAACCAACUUGUGAUUAUGGUAACUACUUUUACAUAGUGGAGCUGGAAGUAAAGCACAAAAGGAGUUACUAAGUUAUUUUACGCUUCAAAGAAGGCAUUUUCUAAGGAGUAUUCGGAUAGUUUUGGCCAUCAUUCUUAGCAGUUAUAAUCAUUUUGUACUUACCAAACUAAUCACUGAGAUCUGGGGCACUGGAGAAGUCCAAAAGGGAGCGAAGUGUCACAAAUGAUCCGAUAGGUGGCACACAAUAGAGUCUAGCCAGUGUGUUUUGUAGGUGAAUAUAGUCUGUAAUGCGUCUUUAAUCUUGCCUUGGGAAGGUGAGGCACAACUACAUGCAUCCACUGAGGCCCAGCAGCAGGCAGCAGGCAACAACUGGGCCGGUCUAUGCUAGGCUCUUUAGCAGCUGCAUAUUAUGCCGUUUUUAGCUCCUAGAACAUUUGCAACUAGUACCUGAAUCUCAGAUACGUCAUUUUUCCUAUUCAUAUUAUUCAUAAAGUCAUUAAUAAGAGUAAUGAUAAAUUAGAGCUAUAUCAAGGCAUUUAUAAAUAUUGUAUCUGCUGUUUGUGACUAUAAAAACUGAAAAAAAUGAGAUCUCCUCAAAGUCAUGUUGUAGUUCACACACUAGUUAAGUACUCAGAACAAAUUUAUGUCCCAGCAACAUGGUGAAUACAUGUACAACAUUAUUGUCACUGAUAUAAGUGAUGGUCAAAACUAUUAUACUUUAAAUACCUUCACUGACCAAACAGUUUUCCUCUGUGAGCAUACAGUCAGUUUGGAAUUACAAUCACGCAGUUAAUUCAGCAGUUACCAGUACAGCUCGAGUUUAUAUCCAGUUUGAUUAAAAAAAGCAAAAAAAAAGCUAUUAGAGUAACAAAUCAAUUCCAGCUGCUGUAUUUGGAGGUGUGUGUAGGAUCUGUGUGAAAUGUUGUUCCUGUGUAGGACGUGGGGGGAAUUUAAAUAUGUUCUUGUUUAGGGGAGAAGAAAAGGUUUGCUGAUUCUCUGCUCCUUGUUUAGCUUUUGUGUCGAGGACUGUUCCUAUACCAACAGUGUUAUAGUAUUCUAAACCUUGUGUCAACGUUCAGUCAUAUAUAUGGUGCUGUGUGUGUGUGCUUGUCAUUUUCCACACUCCUGGGUAUCUAGCUGUGGAUAACAUGAGUUGAGCAACAUUUUAUUUUCAUACAGUGAAAAGACAACGAGUUAGAGAUGCCAGAAAACACAGACAGAUGAGGAAAGGAUUGUUUUGAUUUCUUUAAAUCAUAUUUUCAUUCAUCCUCCUCUAAUAGGAAAUAUCAAAUACUUCUGUACAAAAAGGUUGCAAAAAUUGCGAUACAGUAAUUGGAUGGACUGCUUUACACCUUUGAUCCUCAGCAUCUCUCUCUAGAGCUUUAAAAAGAUGAAAACAAUGAUUUCAUGUUGACACUUCAGAGUUUAUCUGGAGGAGUCAUCUAUUAUAAACUACCAAAUGUACAUCAUAUACACUCAGAAACUACUGAGCUACAUUUUAAUUGCCUGUUAUUAACACAAGAUGGUCCAUUUUUGUGAAGAUUUUCCAUUUUGAAAAGUGAAAACCUUUAUCAAAAUUAUACAAAUUAGUCCUUUUGGUCUUACCACGAAGCCACUAGGUAUAUAUAACUGCUAUGCGUACAUUUAAGGCACAAGGUAAGAAUUAUUUUCCAUUAUUCAGUGAACUGAGAAUUAACUUUAAAGAACUACAGCUGAAAAAUGGCAACUUUUAAUUGCUGUAGUUUAUUUAGAUGACCAUCUAAGCUAAAUUUCUAUUUUAAAAUUGCAUACAAUUUCUGUAUAAAAUAAUGAAUUAAUCAGUCCAUUGGUUGCAUAAAUGUGUGCACAGUCCUGGUUUUCUGUAGUACAGGUUUGUUUUUACUUCAGAUUUUAGGACAGAUAUAAGAGCUAUUUUUUUGUGGAUGGCUUCUUGGUUUUAGUUUCAUUUAAUGAAUUAGUUCUCCCAUAUACAAACAUGUUAGAAAUUUAGUGUUCAACUCCUUGCUUUUAUAGAGGAAAAUGGAACUGAAAGCUGAGACACACCAUAUUCAAGGCCGAAACUGACAAAAAAUUACUUUCUGAGUUAGCUGACGGUUGUAUCAAAAAUGGCUUAUAAUAGAGAGCCGCCGCACUGCUGCAGUGUUCUGUGACAGGAAGCUCAUUGUCAGCAGGAUUUCAAACAGGAAAUGACCGUUUUCCUUUUCUUUAAAAGCAGAGUGCAGGAUUUUCACCACCAGAUUAAAUGAUCAAGAUGUGUUGUCCUUAUGGAAGUGGAUGCUUGGAUGUAGGGAAAAUGGGACGUUUAACUUACACGCAGUGACUCACAAUUAUAUACACAUACAGACAUCCACUCAUACUGUAUACAUUUAUCCUGUAACCAUCCUGUAUAACCUCUUCACCCUGUGAGUUUUUCUAGAUUUGGUGGCAAAUGAAACAAGACAGGAAUACGAUACUAUAUUAUCAAAGACCUUUAUGUUUUUAAAAAGUCAAGAGUAGUAUAUCUGCUUAGUUUUAUAAAUAUAUAACUACAGUUAUUAUUUUUGACUUCUUGGUAUUAUAUAACUAAUUAUUAUAUCCAGAGAUGUAUGUAUAAGCUAAUAAAUUGUCUUUAUGUAAAAAUUA